Molecule: unclassified non-coding RNA, 253 nt
Filed under: uncultured Alphaproteobacteria bacterium
Lineage: Bacteria; Pseudomonadati; Pseudomonadota; Alphaproteobacteria
Description: contains 16S-23S intergenic spacer region
Rfam family: Bacterial small subunit ribosomal RNA
Source: RNAcentral
UACGGAGGGGGCCAGCGUUGUCCGGAAUUACUGGGCGUAAAGCGCGCGUAGGCGGCUUUGCAAGUUAGAGGUGAAAGCCCAGGGCUCAACCCUGGAAAUGCCUUUAAGACUGCAUCGCUUGAACACGGGAGAGGUGAGUGGAAUUCCUAGUGUAGAGGUGAAAUUCGUAGAUAUUAGGAAGAACACCAGUGGCGAAGGCGGCUCACUGGCUCGGUACUGACGCUGAGGCGCGAAAGCGUGGGGAGCAAACAGG